Molecule: unclassified non-coding RNA, 347 nt
Filed under: soil metagenome
Description: partial contains 5.8S ribosomal RNA, internal transcribed spacer 2, and large subunit ribosomal RNA
Rfam family: 5.8S ribosomal RNA (bases 1-120)
Source: RNAcentral
GAUGAAGAACGCAGUGAAAUGCGAUAAUUAAUGUGAAUUGCAGAAUUCAGUGAAUCAUCGAGUCUUUGAACGCACAUUGCCCCCCCUGGUAUUCCGGGGGGCAUGCCUGUCCGAGCGUCAUUGCUGCCCUCAAGCACGGCUUGUGUGUUGGGCUUCCGUCCCUGGCAACGGGGACGGGCCCAAAAGGCAGUGGCGGCACCAUGUCUGGUCCUCGAGCGUAUGGGGCUUUGUCACCCGCUCCCGUAGGUCCAGCUGGCAGCUAGCCUCGCAACCAAUCUUUUUAACCAGGUUGACCUCGGAUCAGGUAGGGAUACCCGCUGAACUUAAGCAUAUCAAUAAGCGGAGGA